This is a long non-coding RNA of Meriones unguiculatus (Mongolian gerbil), 826 nucleotides long. RefSeq lists it as uncharacterized. The record is from RefSeq and is a predicted model, not a curated record. The transcript has 3 exons. Lineage: Eukaryota; Metazoa; Chordata; Mammalia; Rodentia; Muridae.
GGCUGAGGGUUUCUGGGGAAAAGACGCUCAGGAGGUGGAACCCAAGGGGCGGGAAGUCGGGGGACGCCGGGAGAACGAGUUGCAGCGUGGCGUGGGAGCCUAGAGAAAGGGGUUGGAGAAGGUGGAGAAACUGAGGACUGAACACUGGCCUGGCCGUUUUUUUUUUUUUUAAACUUUAGUGUUUGCAAUCCAGGUACUGAGUAUCAAAAAUAUCAAACCUAGAAAAGGAUUCCAUAAGGUACUGCUGAUUUGUCUGAAAGCAAUGGUAUUGAUUACAGAUACCUGUUACUCCUUGCUUUCGGAGGCGACAGUGUCAGCGCCUACGGGAGGAGCCUGCUUUGAGACCGCCAUAGAGGUACCGUUGCAAAAAACUGUCUCACUGCCAACCUACCUGAAGGCUACGGCAAAGGGAAACCACGUUUGCAGAAGUCCAUUGAGCCACAGCUGUGAUAGCCAGUGAAGGACAUAAGCCUGGUCUUUUUUCUGGAGCCCAGGCUGGCCUUGAUCUUAAGACCCUUCUUCCUGCUUCGGGUUCUGAGAUGCUGAGAUUACAAACAUAGUCUACCAUACCCAGCACCAUUUGCUAAACUUGACUGUGUAUGGUAUCUCUGUAUACUUUUUACUUUUUAAAUAAAUCAUGUUCUAACCUACUUUCUAUAAAUAGUUCCUAUUGGGGCCCAUGCCCAAAUCUGUACAUUUGAAGGUAUUCUUGAAGCUCUGGACACAGAGGCAGAAAACUAGACAUACUUAAAUGCCCCUCCACAAAGGGAUGGCUGAAUAAAUUGUGAUGUCUUCAUCCCCGAGAAUAUUAGGCAGCUAGAACAAU